AUUUCAGGUACAGCCUCCAUGAAAGCCAAGUGGGAUGAUCAGUCCCUCUUUUCAGGCAGGAAGAGGAAGCCUAGGAGUAGGGGCACAUGGUCAUUCACAGGCAUUCCCAGGCAUGUUCCUCUGUCCCAGGAUGCUGGUUGGAGUGGAGAAGGUGGAGGAGAGCUCCUGGAACAGCCCCUCAGACACAUCCACCUUUGUCUUUGGACUUUACAUUUCCAAAUUUGGUCUGUCUUUCAAACUGAGAGGUCAUAGCACCUUUGGCAUCCUUGGACUAGGUAAAUGACUUCAAAGACACAGUCCUUUCCAAUUUGUUGUCCCAUGUCCAGUCGUACAUUAUGCUUUGUACUACCUGACUCUGUAAACCAUUUCAAAAGCAAACUAGUGAUUGGUGAAAUGCUGUAGCAGUCACUGUCCUAACUCUGUCUUACCUUGCCGUCCUUAGCACCAUCUAUUCCCACGUCCAUUACUGCUAGGCAAGUGGUCCCCUAACCCCGCUUACUUUAUGUCCCUUCUGUG
This 516-nucleotide long non-coding RNA is filed under the name Chinchilla lanigera (long-tailed chinchilla). RNAcentral's name for it is "lncRNA (ENSCLAG00000025615.1)". Lineage: Eukaryota; Metazoa; Chordata; Mammalia; Rodentia; Chinchillidae. The record is from RNAcentral.